This 205-nucleotide long non-coding RNA is filed under the name Lathyrus oleraceus (garden pea). RNAcentral describes it as "Pisum sativum (pea) long non-coding RNA (PSAT_LNC035902)". The record is from RNAcentral. Lineage: Eukaryota; Viridiplantae; Streptophyta; Magnoliopsida; Fabales; Fabaceae.
CUUUGUGAACCGUUUUUAUGCUUGCUUUCAUCUUCAUCUGGCCACUUCAUUGAGCAUAGGAGCCUCCUAGGAGCAAGGGCACACAUGAUUGCUUGAGCUUCAAAACAAAAGAAGUUAGUGACAUAUUUUUGUGCUUUUGGUUAGUAAACAACAUAAGAAAAGAAAUAAUAUACAAUUCAAGCAUUCUUGGUGGUCUCAAACCAAC